RNAcentral lists this ribosomal RNA (718 nucleotides) under uncultured Staphylococcus sp. RNAcentral describes it as "bacterial SSU rRNA". It matches the Rfam family "Bacterial small subunit ribosomal RNA", at positions 59 to 759 of the family's 1533-position model. The record is from RNAcentral. Lineage: Bacteria; Bacillati; Bacillota; Bacilli; Caryophanales; Staphylococcaceae.
AAGUCGAGCGAACAGACGAGGAGCUUGCUCCUCUAACGUUAGCGGCGGACGGGUGAGUAACACGUGGAUAACCUACCUAUAAGACUGGGAUAACUUCGGGAAACCGGAGCUAAUACCGGAUAAUAUAUUGAACCGCAUGGUUCAAUAGUGAAAGACGGUUUUGCUGUCACUUAUAGAUGGAUCCGCGCCGCAUUAGCUAGUUGGUGAGGUAACGGCUUACCAAGGCAACGAUGCGUAGCCGACCUGAGAGGGUGAUCGGCCACACUGGAACUGAGACACGGUCCAGACUCCUACGGGAGGCAGCAGUAGGGAAUCUUCCGCAAUGGGCGAAAGCCUGACGGAGCAACGCCGCGUGAGUGAUGAAGGUCUUCGGAUCGUAAAACUCUGUUAUUAGGGAAGAACAAAUGUGUAAGUAACUAUGCACGUCUUGACGGUACCUAAUCAGAAAGCCACGGCUAACUACGUGCCAGCAGCCGCGGUAAUACGUAGGUGGCAAGCGUUAUCCGGAAUUAUUGGGCGUAAAGCGCGCGUAGGCGGUUUUUUAAGUCUGAUGUGAAAGCCCACGGCUCAACCGUGGAGGGUCAUUGGAAACUGGAAAACUUGAGUGCAGAAGAGGGAAGUGGAAUUCCAUGUGUAGCGGUGAAAUGCGCAGAGAUAUGGAGGAACACCAGUGGCGAAGGCGACUUUCUGGUCUGUAACUGACGCUGAUGUGCGAAAG